Triticum aestivum (bread wheat) is the source of this 136-nucleotide non-coding RNA. The record is from Rfam. NCBI's taxonomy places the organism in Eukaryota, Viridiplantae, Streptophyta, Magnoliopsida, Poales, Poaceae.
GGAGUACUCCCUCAGUCCGGAAAUACUUGUCAUCAAAAUGGAUAAAAGGAGAUGUAUCUAGACGUAUUUUAGUUCUAGAUACAUUUUUUAUUUAUUCAUUUUGAUGACAAGUAUUUUCGGACGGAGUGAGUAUAUA